CCUACGGGAGGCUGCAGUGAGGAAUAUUGGUCAAUGGGCGAGCGCCUGAACCAGCCAAGUCGCGUGAGGGAAGACGGUCCUACGGAUUGUCAACCUCUUUUGUCAGGGAGCAAGGAGCGCCACGAGUGGUGCUGCGAGAGUACCUGAAGAAAAAGCAUCGGCUAACUCCGUGCCAGCAGCCGCGGUAAUACGGAGGAUGCGAGCGUUAUCCGGAUUUAUUGGGUUUAAAGGGUGCGCAGGCGGAAGCGGCAAGUCAUCGGUAAACUUGCGGGACUCAACCUCGCCGAGCCGUUGAAACUGCUCGUCUAGAGUGGGCGAGAGGUAUGCGGAAUGCGUGGUGUAGCGGUGAAAUGCAUAGAUAUCACGAAGAACUCCGAUUGCGAAGGCAGCAUACCGGCGCCCAACUGACGCUCAUGCACGAAAGCGUGGGUAUCGAACAGGAUUAGAUACCCCAGUAGUC
RNAcentral lists this ribosomal RNA (460 nucleotides) under uncultured bacterium. RNAcentral describes it as "partial 16S ribosomal RNA". It matches the Rfam family "Bacterial small subunit ribosomal RNA", at positions 338 to 795 of the family's 1533-position model. The record is from RNAcentral.